AUCCAGAUGAUGGGUCCCAAAAAGAACGAAAUGCACAUCCUGGAU
Molecule: non-coding RNA, 45 nt
Filed under: Trichobilharzia regenti
Lineage: Eukaryota; Metazoa; Platyhelminthes; Trematoda; Strigeidida; Schistosomatidae
Source: RNAcentral